GAGGGAAAGGUGAAAAGAACCCCGGGAGGGGAGUGAAAUAGAACCUGAAACCGUGUGCCUACAACCGGUCAAAGCCCCAUAUGAGGGUGAUGACGUGCUUUUUGUAGAACGAGCCAACGAGUUACGGUAUGUAGCAAGGUUAAGUACUUAAGGUACGGAGCCGAAGGGAAACCGAGUCUUAAUAGGGCGACUAGUUGCAUGCCGUAGACCCGAAACCGGGUGACCUAUCCAUGGCCAGGUUGAAGCGAGGGUAAAACCUCGUGGAGGACCGAACCACGUUGCUGUUGAAAAAGCAUGGGAUGAGCUGUGGAUAGCGGAGAAAUUCCAAUCGAACUCGGAGAUAGCUGGUUCUCCCCGAAAUAGCUUUAGGGCUAGCGUCGGAUAUGUGUAGUGGAGGUAGAGCACUGAAUGGGCUAGGGGGCAUAUCGCUUACCGAACCUUAUCAAACUCCGAAUGCCAUAUACAUUUAGUCCGGCAGUCAGACUACGAAUGAUAAGAUCCGUGGUCAAAAGGGAAACAGCCCAGAUCGUCAGCUAAGGUCCCAAAGUGUAAGUUAAGUGGAAAAGGAUGUGGGAUUUCUAAGACAACUAGGAUGUUGGCUUAGAAGCAGCCACUCAUUUAAAGAGUGCGUAAUAGCUCACUAGUCGAGAGAUCCUGCGCCGAAAAUGUCCGGGGCUAAAACUUACCACCGAAGCUACGGGCUUGCGUAAGCAAGCGGUAGGGGAGCGUCGUAAUCGGGCUGAAGUCGUACCGUAAGGAGCGGUGGACUGAUUACGAGUGAGAAUGUUGGCAUUAGUAGCGAGAUGUAGGUGAGAAUCCUACAGGCCGAAUAUCUAAGGUUUCCUCAGGAAGGCUCGUCCGCUGAGGGUUAGUCGGGACCUAAGCCGAGGCCGAAAGGCGUAGGCGAUGGACAACAGGUUGAUAUUCCUGUACCACUACCAUCGUUAUUAUCGAGGGUGUGACGGAGAAGGAUAGUGUGUGCUAGCGAUUGGAAAUGCUAGUCUAAGCGUUUAGGCAGUUACGGUAGGCAAAUCCGCUGUAAUGUUAAUGCUGAGGCGUGAUGGGGAAGGCCCUUGAGGCUGAAGUACAUGAUUCCAUGCUUCCAAGAAAAGCAUCUAGAGAGAGAAGUAGUGCCCGUACCGCAAACCGACACAGGUAGAUGAGGAGAGAAUCCUAAGGCCGGCGGAAGAAUUGCAGUUAAGGAACUAGGCAAAUUGACCCCGUAAGUUAGCGAGAAGGGGUGCCUACGAGAGUAGGCCGCAGAGAAUAGGCCCAAGCAACUGUUUAGCAAAAACACAGGUCUCUGCUAAAGCGCAAGCUGAUGUAUAGGGGCUGACGCCUGCCCGGUGCUGGAAGGUUAAGGGGAACACUUAGCGCAAGCGAAGGUGUGAACUUAAGCCCCAGUAAACGGCGGCCGUAACUAUAACGGUCCUAAGGUAGCGAAAUUCCUUGUCAGGUAAGUUCUGACCCGCACGAAUGGCGUAACGAUUUGGGCACUGUCUCAACAGCCCGCCCGGCGAAAUUGUAGUACCGGUGAAGAUGCCGGUUACCCGCGACAAGACGGAAAGACCCCAUGGAGCUUUACUGUAGCCUAAUAUUGGGUUUCGAUGUUGCAUGCACAGGAUAGAUGGGACACAGGGAAACAAGUGCUUUGGCAUUUGUGGAGUGGCCGUUGGGAUACCAUCCUUGCGAUAUUGGAAUUCUAACCUGCGCCUUUGAAUCAAGGCGGGGGACAUUGUUAGGUGGGCAGUUUGACUGGGGCGGUCGCCUCCUAAAGAGUAACGGAGGCGUUCAAAGGUUCGCUCAGCUUGAACGGAAAUCAAGCAAAAGAGUGCAAACGCAGAAGCGAGCCUAACUGCGAGACUGACGGGUCGAGCAGUAACGAAAGUUGGAGUUAGUGAUCCGGUGGUAUGUGAGUGGAAAUGCCAUCGCUCAACGGAUAAAAGUUACCCUGGGGAUAACAGGCUGAUCUCCCCCAAGAGUCCACAUCGACGGGGAGGUUUGGCACCUCGAUGUCGGCUCGUCGCAUCCUGGGGCUGUAGUAGGUCCCAAGGGUUGGGCUGUUCGCCCAUUAAAGCGGUACGCGAGCUGGGUUCAGAACGUCGUGAGACAGUUCGGUCCCUAUCCGGCGUGGGCGUAGGAUAUUUGAGAGGAGCUGUCCUUAGUACGAGAGGACCGGGAUGGACUGACCUCUGGUGCACCAGUUGUUCUGCCAAGAGCAUGGCUGGGUAGCUAAGUCGGGAAGGGAUAAACGCUGAAAGCAUCUAAGCGUGAAGCCUCCCUCAAGAUGAGAUUUCCCAUAGUCGAAAGACUAGUAAGACCCCUUGAAGAACACGAGGUUGAUAGGUCAGAGGUGUAAGUGUGGUAACAUAUUUAGCUGACUGAUACUAAUAGGUCGAGGGCUUGACCAA
Molecule: ribosomal RNA, 2411 nt
Filed under: human gut metagenome
Description: bacterial LSU rRNA
Rfam family: Bacterial large subunit ribosomal RNA
Source: RNAcentral